This 1041-nucleotide unclassified non-coding RNA is filed under the name Hevea brasiliensis (rubber tree). Lineage: Eukaryota; Viridiplantae; Streptophyta; Magnoliopsida; Malpighiales; Euphorbiaceae. The record is from RNAcentral.
CUGAUUCUGAUAAAAAGAAUAAAGGGAAAAACUUCUUCAGUGACUGUAUCAUGCAUGUGACAUAUCCAUGCUUAAGCAUCAUUCUCUGGGGCUUAUUUAUGCAGAAAUCGUUCCUAAUGUUGAAUAAACAACACACUCUUCCUUCAGAGUGCACAAUUAAUUCUUUUCCUACUGCAACAAAUAGAGUUUCUCCUUCUCUUUUCUUUCCACUAUUUUCUAUUUUUUAUCUUUUGAUAAGAAACUGUGAAUGUCAUUCUUUGUUUUCAAUAUCUUAAUUCUUAAGUUGUUUUUCAAUUGAAUUUUCUUCAAACAAGCAAUCAUUAAUCACACAAUGACAUUUCUCUUAUAUAUGAGAAAAGAAUAGACUUCUAUUUAUUAUAACUUAGUGUUAAUCAUGGUAAAGGCUUGUUUAUUUGGUCUUUGUUUAACUAGUUUCUGUACCUUGCAAUUGCUUCUUUGUUGUCUUAUUAAAUUAAUAUAUGUUUUCUGCAUAUAACAUUUGCAAAAUCUAGUUUCUUUGUUCUAAUUCUGAAGUUCACCUUUUCUAGUGAACUCAAUGAUACCAUUGUCCAAGCUCAAUUAAGGACAAGACAAGUUCUGCCCUUGCUUCCCAUCAAAGAUGCAGUUGAACGAUAUUCACAAGCUAAUAAUCGUUUGCUUAUUCUGGGAUUCAAUGCAACUCUAACGGAACAGUUGGACACUUUAGAUAGACGGGGUGGUCAAAUUAGAGAAAUGGAACCUAGAUUGCACCCAGAAUUAAAAGAGCCCUUGAAGAAACUUUGUGGUGAUCAAAAGACAACUAUUGUUGUCCUCAGUGGAAGUGACAGAACCAUUCUGGAUGAGAACUUUGGAGAAUACAAUAUUUGGUUGGCCGCUGAAAAUGGGAUGUUCUUACGUCGUACAACUGGAAAGUGGAUGACAACAAUGCCAGAAAAUCUCAAUAUGGAUUGGGUCGACAGUGUAAAGCAUGUUUUCGAGUAUUUUACAGAAAGAACACCUCGAUCUCAUUUUGAGCUUCGUGAAACUUCUCUCUUAUGGAAU